UGAAUUUGAAAUUAAAAUAAAAUGGCAGAAUACUCCCAAAACCCUAGCCUCUCUUAUCUCUCACUCCCUACCUCCACAACCAUCAGAAAUGGCCGCCGCCGUUGCUCGGCCCCUGGUUUCGAUUCAAACCCUUAAAUUCGACAUGGCCACCGACUGUCCAGACCCAUUCUUCAACAAGCAAUUAACCCCGCUCCUGUCCAUCUAAAACCCCCAAUUAAUUCAUCUUCUUCUGGUAUGUAUACAAUGUCGAAUAUAUACACACACACACUCACACACUCACACACAUAGUGGCAUGGUUAUGUUUUUACGCAUGUUUUUACUUAUAUUUUUCUUACCCUCUUUUGGGGUCUGUAUUUUCUGCACAUGUGUGCGGUAUUGUGUGAGUAUGUGGAAGAUUUUAAUCUUGUUCGUAGUUGGAAGUAGUCGGUAUGCACAUAGGCACAUAUGCUGAUUGUUGAUAUUGCUGAAUGAGUUAUUAUGGUCAUAUUAUAUAAUAUGAAUGAUUUUCUCUAUUCCUCGUUUUGUCUGGUUCAUAUCUUUAGACUAAACCAAAUUGAAAUUAUAAAGGUACUUAACCAGGAUAGCUAAACCGUUAUAAACUAGAUUCCUUUCUUUAGGGAAUUUACCAUGUAUUUGAAAUUAUGUUUGUUUAAUAUAUUAAUAUGUCAGUACUUUGUUCCUGCAGAAAAUGAUAGGUAUAAAGGUAACCUCAUAUUAUAUGAUUCUCCUAUCUAGGAGCGAGCUUGAAUCUUGGUGUGCUAUAUAAAUUUCUGCAUUAAGAGUUUCACUAUUGUUUACUUAUGACAUGUUCUUAAUAUUGAUUUGUCUAAGGAUCCAGUUACUUUUUAUUUGAUAGUUCCUAUUACUGGUUCUUCCAGCUCUAAAAAUUUGUUCUGCCAGAAUGUUGUUAAAGAUGAUAGCUUAAUUUAAUACUUGUGGGUUGUAGUCCAUCUUUUGUUCACUUGUAACUUCUUUGACUGAACAUUCAAAAAUAAUAGCUCAAGUUUUGUUAUUACUGUGGCCUCGAGGAGUGAUUAAUUCUUACAAAGUACACAAGUAGUUUAUCCGUGAAGUGUUCUUUCAUUCUUGGAUUUCUUUGGGGGAACUGGCACUUGGUUAGGUUUAUAGUUUGUUUUUUCCAUAAGUUUUUUUGUAGAUAUGUUUAGGGGCUUUUCCUCUUUAGGCAUGGAUUUUUUUGGGAUGCAGUGCGUAGUUCUUUUUUUCUUUUUUAUUUUAUAAAUUCUGCCCCCUUGAUGGUGUGACUGAAAAGCACUUCUAAAAAAAUAAAGUACACUAAUAUCACUAGUAAUAUGUCAUCAUUGGUGGUACUACAGUUAGAAAAAUGCCUUGGUUUAUGUCCUAUAUAGCAGUUUAGUUUAAGGUCAUUUUGGUAUGGUGUGAUAGGGAUAAACAUAGAUGAUAUUGAUUUAGUCUCAAGGCUGUUCAAACAGUGACACAGAGUCAGUGUGGUGUAUUUUUGCAGCUAAAUUUUCUAGUUUAUCCUAGAAACUUAUUUUUUAUCACAAUGGAGCUGAGCACGGAAUAUUAUGAUGUCCAGGUGGUCGAACGAGAAGUAGUGUCAUACUUCUUUGUGAUUGUGGUUAUUAUGUUCAGAAGUAGUUCUCCUCAAAUGUUACCUUGAAACUAAGGGGGAAUAUAUUGAAAUGCCAUAGGACGUGUCUAAUAUGCUGCAGUAACUUUGUCCAUGCAUCUUAGCUACCAAGGGGAUUAUUUCUUUUAUCAUACCUUGUUAUGAUUUGUGGAAAAUAGUUUGCCUAGCAUAAUGUGACCUCGGUUGCCUCUGUCAAUUUUCCAUCUGCAAAUUUAACUUUGUUAUUUUUGCUCUGUCAUAGUUUGCUUAGCAUAAUUGUACUUCUUGUCGCAUGUAGUAUGACAUGAAAAGCUUGGGGACAUCUCUGUUGUAGUGAAAGAAUUUGUUGAUUAUGUUGACAGUCACUGUGGGACCCCUUAUCCUAUGGAUUGUGAAAUAUGGCUAAGAAGGUUAAGGCGACAUAUAAAUGAAGAAGACCAUGGGAAGGAAAUUGACACAUCAAGUUAGAUUUUCUUUCACUAGCUACCUGAGUAGAACUGAAAUACUUCACACCUUAAUCAUAAUCUCACACAACGGGGCAGUUUUUUUUUUGCAUUUUGAGGAAGUUUAUGGAAGUUGGAGCUUCAAAUUGUAUUCCUGGUCAUAGGUUAUUUUGUGGCUGCGAACUCACAUUCAGGUUUUCAUAGAAUGUCUGAGAUCACCAUUUGGUGCUACUUUGUAUACAGUUCAGCAAGUACCCAAGUUGGUACAAGUAUAAUUGCACAGUUGAGGAGAUUUUGUAUAAGUUGUCAUUAUUUCUGCAAUGUAUGAUUUACUCAGUUCCACCUUGAAAUCGCAGAUUAUGCCUCCUGAUUUAUUGUGGUCUAAUUUUGUCUUGUAGGAUGAGAUUGGAAAGUUGGUGACAGCUAUGGGAGGCGUGCUGCAUACUAAAGCAUCAUUGGAUGUUAACUUUGUUAUUGUGAAGAGUGUUUUAGCUGCCAAAUACAAGGUUUUUGAUUUCAUUCAUUAUUUUAUUAAAGCGACUGCCGACUAGGCUCUCCCUAUCUCCUCCCCACUGCCCUCACCCAAUUCGUGGUUUUUGGUUAUUUUGGAAUAUGUAUUUUUUUAAUAAUUAAAAUUAUAAAAGGAAUAUUUUCUCAAAUUCGCAGCGUUGACACUAUUUCUAUGCUAUACCCUAAUCUGUUUCUAUGAACUGUAUUCCAUGCUAACCAAUUUUAGUCUGGUGUAGUAGAUUUUAGGACUACAAAAGAUAAUCAAGCAGCUAGGAUUUCUUUGACUGCCACGGCCACAGUCCACACAAACCUCUCUCAAGUAUACAUAGGGUGGUUGUUCAGGUUUUUGAAGUUCUCCGUUGUGGUCUAUAGAACCUUAGAUUGAUUUUUAGUCCUCGACAGAAAUGAUAGGUGUAACACUAAUAAUAUGGCCUAUAGGUGCACAGGCCUUGUACAAGCUUCGUUCUGAACGUAUAUGUGAUGUUCAUGCAAACUAGUGAGACUCGCACUAACUAAUAAUAUGGCCUUUUGCUUGGUUUGGUUGUUUCUUCCUAACUUGUUCAUGCUAGAAAGAUUAUUCUCAUAUUGUACCUUCAUAAAUGGUAGAAUUGUGUUCUUGAAUCAGUGUUUAAACUGCUAUAUGCUAGAAGACAAGUUGAGUACUUUUAUUUCUUUAGGUAUCGUGCCCGAAGAAAAGUUUAGUAUUCUAUUCUAGCCACACUCCGGGCCUAUAUGACGACCCUUCAUUUUUUUUGGAGUGAUUCAAGUCAUUCAAUCAGGUAAUGCCACUACUUAUGAUUGUCAGUACAUAUGAUUGUCAGUACAUUUACUAAUUAGUGUGAUGAACUGCUUAUGUUGUAAAUUGUCUUUGGGUAUAUAUUUGUUUUUAACUGUAUGCUCUAUAAGGGUUACCGGACAUUGAUUUUUAACUCGUACUAGCUCUAAAACUAAAACUUCUCUACUUCAAUUAUUUUGUUCAAAUGAUACUAAUAUUUGUGUACCAUUUUUUGGCGGCAGUUUACUACUAUAACGGCUUGAUCCUCGAUAAGGGUAAUGAACCAUUCUGCCACAUUACUUUUGCAUGUUGCUUCCUUGCUGCAGAAGAACUUCUGGCUGAGAGCAAGAAGGCCUGUUUAAGCUUUUGCCUUGCAAUUUGGUUGGGGUUUUUUGUACAUUAGAAGUAUUAUAUUUUAUAGAUAGUUUAAUUAGGCAGUAGUUUAAUUUUAUGGAUAGUUUGGUAUAUUUUGUGGAUGUAGUCAAAUUCACAAUUCAAUAUAGUGGUAAUUAUAUUGAAAAGUGAAUUUGAGGUGUAUGGAUAGUUUAGUAUUAUUGGGAUGUAAACGUAUUGUAUGGUAUUAAUAUUCUUUGUAAUCGGUAUAUUUUGAAUUUGAGAUGUAUGGAUAGUAAUAUUAUUUGUAAUCGGUAUAUUUUGAAUGUUUGAUAUAUUUUGACUUUAAAUAGAUGACACCUUCUAAAUGUUGUAUACAUGUGUCUAAACGUUAUUUGAUGUAUCAAAUUAUAACAUUUUAAGUUAGAAAACGUUGUGGAAUCAUACCAUCUACAACGUUUUCAAGUAUCC
Molecule: long non-coding RNA, 4123 nt
Filed under: Panax ginseng (ginseng)
Lineage: Eukaryota; Viridiplantae; Streptophyta; Magnoliopsida; Apiales; Araliaceae
Description: long non-coding RNA (PGIN_LNC017509)
Source: RNAcentral